CCAUCCAGCCCACACUCUGUAAAGAGCGCCGCUCAUACGAGCCAAAAAAUCCGGAAACCACAACUUCUAUUACGCCGCCGCCGCCGCCGCCGAUGACUCAAGAGCGUCCCUCGCCGGCGUCCUCCGACACUACCAUAUCCUUCGACUCUGCUCCCGAAUCCGAUGCCUCCACCUCAUCCUCGGUGCUCUCGGUCGUCUCCUCCGGAUCUGAACCCGUCGUUUCCAAGAAGCCCCGCCCCCCCGUGCGCUCGUGGCCAGCCUCCGACGAGAUCGCGCUCCUCGAGGCCGUCGCGGUGCACCGUGAGAAGCACGGGCGGCUGCCGUCGCCCAACGACCUUGCCGCCGCGCUGCAAGGCCGCCUCCGCGCGGAGGACCGCCUAGGCGCCGAGCAGGUCGCCAAGCGGCUGCGCGCGCUCCGCUCCCGGUACGACGCGGCCGCCAUCCGCCUCUCCCGCGGCACCAUCCCGGUGAAGGACGACGACGUCACGAUCUACAGGCUCUCCAAGCUAAUCUGGGCGGGCACGCGCAAGGGGAAGAGGAAAACGAAGACCCGUGCGGCCGACGCGCGCAAGGACCCGAGGGAGUUCGGCGAGCUGUCCGAGCUGUACCCUUGUCUCUCAGCGGAGGUGGAGGCUAUUGACAAGGGGUGCGGCGCUGCGGCCGCCGCCAGGGUGCUAAAGAGGGCGUACGGGCGCAUCGGGGACGACACUGCGGCACGGCUGGAGGCGAGGGUGAAGAUGCAGCGGGUGGCGGAGGCCAGGGCCAGCGCGGAGCUUGACCAGCUGAGGAGGAAUGUCGCCGGGGCUCUUCUGCGUUUGAUCAAGUGAAUGAUUGAAAUGUUAUCAGAUUCUUUGUGCCGAAGUUCAAGGGCAAUAUCAAAAGUAUCAGAAAUGUGAUGUAGCAACUAGCAAAUGGAAAAAUAAUUUUCCCACAGCAUCAAAAUUCGAAAUACAAAGCUAACGUUUGUUUCAAGAUCUAUCCUAUUAGAGCAAGUAUAGUAAUGCCUAUUCAGCCGGCGGAAGAGCACUCCACGUCAACAAAAUCUGAGCUGGAGGUGCGAAUAUAGGGGAGAGAGAACAGAGCUGGCUGCUGGUGAAAUGCCGGGCAACAUAGGAACCGAGAAAAAAAGUGCCAGCUUUUAGCCGUCAGCCAAUAGUCAUACGAACAUUAAUUAUUUACAUCUUCAAUCCAACCAUUCUAAUAGUCAACCUAGCAGCUAAGUCAUUAUAUGAACAGGCUAUAUUUUCAACUUCAUCUGACAUGGCAAUAGCAUUUAGCCUUCAGCUGGCUAAAUCAUUAGCCAUGCUCUUAUUCUCACUCUGCAAUCUGCCUCAAUCAUCUAUACUUAUUCUGUAAAGCGUACAUCAUCUUAUGGACUGGUGGUUUCAAGCUGCUAGCAUGCACGACACCUCCUUCAAAAUUAUAAGCAUGACAUGCACCUUGUGGCCAAAACAUUUCACAAAGCCUAUCUUGUGCAAUGCAAAGUGUGCUGAUAUUUCAGCCUGGUGUUGCGUUUUGCAUCAAUCAAUUUUGAUUAUCAUUUAGCAUUAGGGCAGUGCUUGGGAGGGUUUCUGCUCCAAGAUUUUCAUCUAGAGCAGCUGGAGUGCAUCCAACUGCCCUCAGCUCUGAAGAAACAGUAUGAAAGCAGAGUGGUCCAGAGCCACAAAUUAACUGGAGAAGUGGAGCAGGCUGCCUUUUCUGUAUUCCAUGUUCUGGAUGCCUCUGUUCAAGAUGUUCCUAUGCCCUAUUCCACCAUCUCGUCAAGGUAAUGCCACAUAUGACAUCAUAUAUUGAGAUGUUCUUGAGUGUUUACUUGUGUGGUUUGGUUGUAUGGCACUACGGCAGUGUGUAGGUACUGAACUUAAAUGGAUUCCGGUAUUUGUGAUGAAUGUAGUGUACUGACUGCUUUUGCACUAGUACACUCUCCAGGCCUCCACACAUAUUUUGUGAUGGGAGAUUGAACUGUUGGAGUCGGUGAACUUCAAUACAUGUUUUGCAUUGCAUGGAUGCGUUAAAAAUCAGUUAUAUGUUGCUGAAGGGUGAGAUUAAAAUUUGAUCUGGGAUUGAAAAAUCUGUA
This is an RNA transcript of Panicum hallii, 2077 nucleotides long. RefSeq lists it as uncharacterized. The record is from RefSeq and is a predicted model, not a curated record. The transcript is spliced from 3 exons. NCBI's taxonomy places the organism in Eukaryota, Viridiplantae, Streptophyta, Magnoliopsida, Poales, Poaceae.